UCUCCCGGUUCGCCGAAUCCUGCCGCCGGAGAGGCCACGGUUACGAAACCCGAAAGGCAGGAGCGGGGGAACCAAGUGGAAUGCCGUCCCGGGCGUCCGCAUGUCGCGGACAUCCGAUAACGACGGCUUGGGGUGAAGCCGUGCCCGCCUCCUCGAUACCCGAGGAGUCGACGCCGGCCGGGCGAGACUCUCCAGCCCGAAUCCGACAGCUCACUUCGUAGGCGUGGGAGAAGGAAAAA
RNAcentral lists this small RNA (239 nucleotides) under Embleya scabrispora. RNAcentral's name for it is "Streptomyces scabrisporus c-di-AMP sequence". It matches the Rfam family "c-di-AMP riboswitch aptamer (ydaO/yuaA leader)". From Rfam's summary of the family: This family represents a conserved RNA structure found upstream of the ydaO and yuaA genes in Bacillus subtilis and related genes in other bacteria. Lineage: Bacteria; Bacillati; Actinomycetota; Actinomycetes; Kitasatosporales; Streptomycetaceae. The record is from RNAcentral.